CGCAAAUGCUAAGCAUUGGAAAAGCAUUGGAUUGGCCUUCAACGUUGCGUCCGUCGAUGUUUAAAGGAUCACAUCAGUUCAUGGGACCGCCUUUAUUGCCAACUGUCCGUCGAAUUUCUAAGUAAUAGUCAGAGAAGUUGGUGAUCCGUCAAUGCAAAGUAUGGAAUAAGGAGCAGGUACAAAAAAAUCACCUACGCAAGUUCUUACACGGUUUUAACGACGUUUACCAGUGGGCAAUAAUGCCUAUGGCAUGGUGAGCUAUGGCUUCCCGUCAAUGUGUUCGAUGGGCAAGUGAACCUUCAUCAAAUGGCGGCAGAUCGCUUAAAAGACAUUUUCGGCUGUUCAUCGACUGGCAACAGACGAUCUGUCUAAGCUGUGGUCGGCAUUCUCGCGUAAACCCCUAGUAACAUUGGAAGGUAUUUGAAUAGCUUUUAUUUUGCUCAGCUGGGCCAGUGACCCAUAAAGACAAGUUAAAGACACAAUCGAGUCGAAUGAAUUUUUGA
Molecule: long non-coding RNA, 503 nt
Organism: Varroa destructor (honeybee mite)
Lineage: Eukaryota; Metazoa; Arthropoda; Arachnida; Mesostigmata; Varroidae
Source: RefSeq, a predicted model, not a curated record